AUAAAAAGGAGGAGGUGGGGGGGUGGGGGGAAGAAACAGAUUCAGGGAAAAAGAGAAAGACGUCCGGAACACGAUUGAUUUUCUAUCGUGUUCCGGACGUCUUUCUCUUUUUCCCUGAAUCUGUUUCUUCCCCCCACCCCCCCACCUCCUCCUUUUUAUU
This 160-nucleotide microRNA precursor is filed under the name Marmota monax (woodchuck). The record is from RNAcentral. Lineage: Eukaryota; Metazoa; Chordata; Mammalia; Rodentia; Sciuridae.